CCGCGGCUGAGAUCCGGACGUCGACCCGCUGCCGGGGGCGACGUGGAUGUAUUGAUAUACGUGUGUUUGUGAUACUCCGGGUUCUUUGCAUUGAUCCGCGUUAUUAUUCUGCGUAUUGUUCUGGUUAUCAUUGGGAGUUUACCUUUUACGUCGGGGUGAAUACAUGUGGAUUUAUCAUCAUCUCACAUGCGAUAAAGGUGAAUGUUCGGUGUUUGGACAUCAAUCAAGCAUGCGGCCCUUUUGCAGUGAGCGCGUAGCAGUUUGACCGGAUCAAAGUAGUGAAAUCAGAUCCCGUGAGGUUCAGAGAAGAGUUCGUGUGGCGUAAAGAGAGACGUGUGGACAGGUGGGCCGAAUAAAUCUGCAGAGAAAUCUUUGUCUCCAAUCGGUGUGAAGAGCUUUUUGGUUUCUGACCGCUGCAAAACCUUCUGAGACCCAAAUAAGGUUCACAGGGAAAAAUCCACCCAGAAGAAUGAGGUUAUGAGCAUCCUUCACUUCCCUUCUAACUUUGGCCUUUUGGAUUUUGCAACAUCUGCACAGAUAAAAGAGGCCGACUGUUUGUCCUCCCGAUGGAGCUUCUCUGGGUGGUGCUGCUGCUGGAGGUGGUGCUCAUGUCCUCUGCUGCCAGAAGGGGAGGGACUCCUGACGGGACGUCAACAACGGCCUCUCCGGGAGGUGAUCGUCGGCCCUGACCUCGCUUGUCUCAGCUCGCCACAGAAGACUUUGAAAAUCAUUCAACGUAAGAAAAAAGAAAAAUGUCUACGUGAAGAUGGAAGCGAAAGGCCCAGAAGUCCAGAAGCCUCGAGCCUCGUGUUCGGACACAAAGUGGCACAACCGUUUCAGGAUCAGGAUGCUGAUUAUUAUUCAUCAUUUUCCACAGCGCGAGUGGCAUUUCUCCCGUUUCCCACAAAGUGUCCGUGUCCGCACAAAGACGUGUGUGUGCAGUGGGUUGGAGGUGACGCGUGAACACCGCACUACACGGGCCUCCUUCACGUCGGGCGGCUCAGCGCACUUAUGAUCCGGAGGUAAUCCGUCUCUUGUGUGGGCUCCAUCGUCACACAGGGACACAACAGGCCUUUUCUUCCACGCGUAAUUAACAGAGUGAAAGCCACGUAACUCCUCAUGGGGCGGGAACAACGGGCCCGUUACGGGACACUUUCAGGUAAUUGAGUGGGUUCAUAUGUGGUGAAUUAAACUAAAAUGGAAACCAUGAGAUAGAUGGAUGGAUAGAUAAGUACUUAUUGAUCCCCGAGGGGAAAUUCAAUCCUUCAGUUUCAUCCUUCAAAUAAAUGGUUUUCACGAGACAGCUACUGGCCGGGCAUCUCUGAAGACACUCAACAUGGAGCCGUCAGAGCAAAGCAAUACAGGUUAGGAACACGCAAUAUCGCACAUACACAACUAUCCCUCACCUCUCUCACACACACACACACGCACACACACACACGGUAGCCUGAAAGGAGACAGUGACCUGAGCUGAACAAAUGGAUUUAGUCACGGCUGAGGAUUGGUGUGGAAUGUGUAUGUGUGUGUUAACGCUCGUCUGACUCUCCACCAAGUGAAGCAGAAAACACACAUGUGGAGGAGGAAGAAGAAAUACAGGAAUAGAAAAGAAAGUCAAAAUAUUGGGUAAAAUAAUAUUAUGUCAAAAGAUGUCAAAUGGAAAAAGAAUAGAUGUUCUACAAAUGUGGUGGGGAAAAAAGGUUCAAAAAUAUUCGGUGAAAA
Long non-coding RNA from Gasterosteus aculeatus aculeatus (three-spined stickleback), 1719 nucleotides. The record is from Ensembl. NCBI's taxonomy places the organism in Eukaryota, Metazoa, Chordata, Actinopteri, Perciformes, Gasterosteidae.